Molecule: long non-coding RNA, 754 nt
Filed under: Numida meleagris (helmeted guineafowl)
Lineage: Eukaryota; Metazoa; Chordata; Aves; Galliformes; Numididae
Description: lncRNA (ENSNMEG00000002566.1)
Source: RNAcentral
AUGUGUCCCCACACAUCCCAUGACCCCACACAUCCCCACGUGUCCCCACACGUCCCCACACACCCCAUCACCCCAUGUGUCCCCAUGCGUGUGUCCCGUGUCUGUCCCCAUGUCUGUCCCCACGCAUCCCGUGUCCCCAUGUGUCCCCAUGUGCGUGUCCCCACACAUCACCCCAUGUCCCCCCACAUCCCCAUGUGUCCCCUUGUGUCUGUCCCCACGUGUCCCCUCCCAGCCCCACAUGUCCCCACGUGCCCCCAUGUCUGUGUCUGUGUCCCCACACAUCCCAUGUGUCCCCACGUGUCCCCACACAUCCCAUGGCCCCAGAUGUCCCGAUGUGUGUCCCAUGUGUCCGUCCCCAUGUCCGUCCCCAUGUCUGGCCCCACACAUCCCAUGUCCCCAUGUCCCCACGUGUGUCCCCACAGAUCCCACGUCCCCACCUGUCCCCUCCCAGCCCCACAUGUCCCCACGUGUCCCCAUGUCUGUGUCCCCAUGUCUGUCCCCACACAUCCCCCCACAUCCCCACGUGUCCCCACAUCCCAUGGCCCCAGAUGUCCCCAUGUGUGUCCCAUGUGUCCGGCCCCAUGUCCGUCCCCAUGUCUGGCCCCACACAUCCCAUGUCCCCAUGUCCCCACGUGUGUCCCCACAGAUCCCAUGUCCGUCCCCACACAUCCCACGUCCCCACGUCUGUCCCCUCACAGCCCCACGUCCCCAUGCCUGUGUCCCCAUGUCUGUCCCCGCACGGUCACGUGUCCCC